This 72-nucleotide transfer RNA is filed under the name Paenibacillus sp. TCA20. It matches the Rfam family "tRNA". From Rfam's summary of the family: Transfer RNA (tRNA) molecules are approximately 80 nucleotides in length. Their secondary structure includes four short double-helical elements and three loops (D, anti-codon, and T loops). Further hydrogen bonds mediate the characteristic L-shaped molecular structure. tRNAs have two regions of fundamental functional importance: the anti-codon, which is responsible for specific mRNA codon recognition, and the 3' end, to which the tRNAs corresponding amino acid is attached (by aminoacyl-tRNA synthetases). tRNAs cope with the degeneracy of the genetic code in two manners: having more than one tRNA (with a specific anti-codon) for a particular amino acid; and 'wobble' base-pairing, i.e. permitting non-standard base-pairing at the 3rd anti-codon position. The record is from Rfam by way of RNAcentral. Lineage: Bacteria; Bacillati; Bacillota; Bacilli; Caryophanales; Paenibacillaceae.
GCCAUGAUAGCUUAUCAGGGAAAGCACAUGACUGAUAAUCAUGAAAUGCGGUUCGAUUCCGAUGUGGUGGCG